This 422-nucleotide ribosomal RNA is filed under the name Fusobacteriota bacterium. RNAcentral's name for it is "Fusobacteria bacterium partial 16S ribosomal RNA". It matches the Rfam family "Bacterial small subunit ribosomal RNA", at positions 355 to 776 of the family's 1533-position model. Lineage: Bacteria; Fusobacteriati; Fusobacteriota. The record is from RNAcentral.
UGGGGGAUUUUGCACAAUGGGCGCAAGCCUGAUGCAGCGACGCCGCGUGAGGGAUGAAGGCCUUCGGGUUGUAAACCUCUUUCGCUGGGUUGAAAGGCCAUGCUCUGGGUGUGGUUGAUUUGAACUGGUAAAGAAGUACCGGCUAACUACGUGCCAGCAGCCGCGGUAAUACGUAGGGUACUAGCGUUGUCCGGAUUUAUUGGGCGUCAAGGGCUUGUAGUUGGUUUGUCGCGUCUGUCGUGAAAUCCUGUGGCUUAACCAUGGGCUUGCGGUGGGGACGGGCAGGCUUGAGUGCGGUAGGGGGGACUGGAAUUCCUGGGGUAGCGGUGGAAUGCGCAGAUAUCAGGAGGGACACCGGUGGCGAAGGCGGGUCUCUGGGCCGUUACUGACACUGAGGGGCGAAAGCGUGGGGAGCGAACAGG